GGCUUGGGCUUCCAGGAAGAAGCUCCUUGCCGAGCACAUGGCUAAUGGCUGCUGCCUAAAAAUGGAGGAUUCGGAGAAGAUGGAGGGCGUAGCCCUCACCCUUUCACUGGUCAGUUCUUUCCAGGUU
Molecule: long non-coding RNA, 127 nt
Organism: Myotis davidii
Lineage: Eukaryota; Metazoa; Chordata; Mammalia; Chiroptera; Vespertilionidae
Exons: 3
Source: RefSeq, a predicted model, not a curated record